This 991-nucleotide long non-coding RNA is filed under the name Brachypodium distachyon (stiff brome). RNAcentral's name for it is "long non-coding RNA (BDIS_LNC003927)". The record is from RNAcentral. Lineage: Eukaryota; Viridiplantae; Streptophyta; Magnoliopsida; Poales; Poaceae.
AAUGUACCAAUGAGGGAGUUUUUAGCCAUUGGAUUGAAAACGAAGGACAUCCAAAUGAGGUAAGCUGCCAUGGCCACACAACUUUAGAGAAUCUGCGCCGACAUUUACUCACUAACGCGGAUCUUCGAUAAUGGAGAAGCAGCGGAGCUAGUGGUGUCCCUCUCUCGAUGCGGGUCCAAAACGACAGACAAAUGUGUGCGAGGUGCGCCUAGGGGAGCUGCGGGAGAAGCAAGGGUGUAAGAGCAUCUUCAGCAGUGGCUCUUAAAACAUGGCCCCUACUUGUUGUUCACGGGCUUCUUCCUAAUUUUUUCAGCCCAUACUUCAACUCAAUUUUCAACAGUAGCCCCCUAAAUACCAGCCCCUAUUUACUUUUACCAUUACACUGACUAGUGGGACCCCUUGUCAGUGGGUCAAAAAAUUCCCCAUCUCCUCAUCUUCUUCCCUGAGGAGCUUCUGGAGGAGGGCGGGGCAGCUCCACCGCCGGCCGACGCAGGUCUCCACGGCGGGCCGGAGCGCAGCCAGCAAAGGGGCGAUGAGGCCACGGCCGUGGCCGGUUGCUCACGAGGCGAGGUGGCCACUGGUCCAGCUUCCUCUGUGGUGGCGCACGGCGGGACGAGGCCGCGGUGUGUGCUCAGCUCGGCCUUGCCGUCGUCUUCUCCUUUGUCGAUGACCCCGGCCACGUCCUCGCACAACUCACCCUCACCGUCGUCUUCUCCAUCGCCGAGGGCGUAGGCGGCAGACCAGACCAGCACAGAGGCGGAGGCGGCACGGGCCAGCGCGAUAGAGGUGAGCCAGACGCGAGGCGCGGCGGUGGCGAGGCAUGUCGGCGGCGAGGUGGGACGAGUCCUGCCACCAGAGAGAGAGGAGAAGAUGACAUAAAGAGGGGAAUAGGGGCCUCGCUGGGAGUCCCCCCGAAUGAGGACUAGAGGGAUGUUUUUAGGGGACUUCCUACUGUAGUGGGUCAAGUAGGACCUUGUUGAAGCGAUUUUUG